CCUACGGGAGGCAGCAGUCGGGAAUAUUGCGCAAUGGAGGAAACUCUGAUGCAGCGACGCCGCGUGCAGGAAGAAGGUUUUCGGAUUGUAAACCGCUUUAGACAGGGAAGAAACAAGAAAGUACCUGCAAAAUAAGCUCCGGCUAACUACGUGCCAGCAGCCGCGGGAAUACGAAGGGGGCAAGCGUUAUCCGGAUUUAUUGGGUGUAAAGGGAGCGUAGACGGGUAGUCAAGUUGGAUGUGAAAUCCCUCGGCUUAACUGAGGAACUGCAAUCAAAACUAACUUUCUUGAGUGCAGGAGAGGAAAGUGGAAUUCCUAGUGUAGCGGUGAAAUGCGUAGAUAUUAGGAGGAACAUCAGUGGCGAAGGCGGCUUUCUGGACAGUAACUGACGUUGAGGCACGAAAGUGUGGGGAGCAAACAGGAUUAGAUACCCGGGUAGUC
Molecule: ribosomal RNA, 441 nt
Filed under: uncultured bacterium
Lineage: Bacteria
Description: partial 16S ribosomal RNA
Rfam family: Bacterial small subunit ribosomal RNA
Source: RNAcentral